GCAGAUUUAGCUCAGUGGUGCCAGUGCCUGCCUGGCAAGCACGAAGUCCUGAGUUUGAUCCCCAGUUCUGCA
Molecule: transfer RNA, 72 nt
Filed under: Fukomys damarensis (Damara mole-rat)
Lineage: Eukaryota; Metazoa; Chordata; Mammalia; Rodentia; Bathyergidae
Rfam family: tRNA
About the family: Transfer RNA (tRNA) molecules are approximately 80 nucleotides in length.
Source: Rfam by way of RNAcentral